UCUUAGAGUUCUGGUGGAGAUGGUGUUUUGUAUCAACUUCCAGAUAUCUGUCAUAUAUUUUCAUUUUACCUUGCAGCUGCCAAAACGACCAGAGUGGCCAAGUGACUUGCCAUUAACUCCCGAGUGGUGGGAGAAUCCAGCUCACCCAUUUCAAGUCCAGCCUCCCGCCCUCUAUGCCACAAUGGUUAUACUAUUCAGCAUUCAAACGUCAUGACAGACUGGCCUUUCACUGUUCUGCCAAGCGUGAGGAAAGACCAAAGCAGUCCGUUUGGGAAAGCAAAAAGCAGAAUUCUUCCUAACCUGAUAAAAUAUUUU
Molecule: long non-coding RNA, 315 nt
Filed under: Homo sapiens (human)
Lineage: Eukaryota; Metazoa; Chordata; Mammalia; Primates; Hominidae
Description: HSALNT0233893
Source: RNAcentral